Molecule: long non-coding RNA, 452 nt
Organism: Cervus elaphus (red deer)
Lineage: Eukaryota; Metazoa; Chordata; Mammalia; Artiodactyla; Cervidae
Exons: 2
Source: RefSeq, a predicted model, not a curated record
CCGAGCAGCAACAAAGACCCAGCAUAGUCGGAAAAAAAAAAAAAGUCAGAAAAGGCAACCUCCGGACAUCCCGGAAUCGGAGCUGAUGCGGUAACGGAGGGAUCGAUCGAGCAGGAUAGUGAGAGAGGAAGGGUCAGGGGAAAGUGCCAGCCAGAGUGUGGAGACAGAAGGAGUUUGGAAGAGCCGCCCAGGGGACGGAGGAAGAGCUAAAGGGAACCUGAUGAAAGGCCAGUCUGCUAGGACUCCAGCCCCUGGGCAGGAGCCCUGAUCACGCUGUUAGGUAGUUAGAAUAGGAAACAGGAGUCCAGAAGGGCGAUGGCUAAAAGACAAGGAAGGGAGAAGCCCGCGAAAAUAGAACAAAGGAAGGUCCGAGUAUUGGAGUUAGGACCUCAGGUAGAAGAAACAGCACUCCUGGCUAGCCCAAUUUACAUAGGGCAGGCCCAGGGUGAGGA